GACGAACGCUGGCGGCGUGCCUAAUACAUGCGAGUCGAGCGAAGUUUUUCUGGUGCUUGCACCGGAAAAACUUAGCGGCGAACGGGUGAGUAACACGUAAAGAACCUGCCUCAUAGACUGGGACAACUAUUGGAAACGAUAGCUAAUACCGGAUAACAGCAUUAACUGCAUGGUUGAUGUUUAAAAGUUGGUUUUGCUAACACUAUGAGAUGGCUUUGCGGUGCAUUAGCUAGUUGGUGGGGUAAAGGCCUACCAAGGCGACGAUGCAUAGCCGACCUGAGAGGGUGAUCGGCCACACUGGGACUGAGACACGGCCCAGACUCCUACGGGAGGCAGCAGUAGGGAAUCUUCCGCAAUGGGCGAAAGCCUGACGGAGCAACGCCGCGUGAGUGAAGAAGGAUUUCGGUUCGUAAAGCUCUGUUGUUAGGGAAGAAUGAUUGUGUAGUAACUAUACACAGUAGAGACGGUACCUAACCAGAAAGCCACGGCUAACUACGUG
Molecule: ribosomal RNA, 499 nt
Filed under: uncultured bacterium
Lineage: Bacteria
Description: partial 16S ribosomal RNA
Rfam family: Bacterial small subunit ribosomal RNA
Source: RNAcentral